CAAAAGAAGAAGAGUGAGAGAGAAGAACUGAGAGAAAGUUUGAGAGAGAAAACUGGUUUGCCGGAGUUUUCGUCGGAGAGUCGCCGACGGAAUCCAUUUCCUACCAAGACCUGUACUCUGGAGCCCUUCUUGGAGUGAAGUAAGAACUCGUGUGGAGAUUUCCUCCUCCUUCCUCAAGAUCAGAAAGAAAACCCGCAAAGGAGGAUUCGCUACCGAUCUUGGUGAGGGAAACGGACGGAACGACGAGAUCUGAGAGACUAUCCAAGAACGGUAAGGAGGAGAGAGAAGCCGCCGGCGUGCCACGCGUCAACCAACCAGAGGGCCGCGUGCGCCAAUCGCCCCCGGACACGCGUCGAGCGCCGCCUGGGAAAACGCGGCUCCAGCGCUCCUGCGACACGCGUCCCUGGCUCCGCGACCCGACCCGCGCUCCUUGGCUGACCCGAUACCCGCACGGCGAACCGAAUCCAGUUGACGACCCGCGGUCCACCCGAAUCACCGCUUCCGACCCGAACCCGCGACCCGCGACUGCAGGAAUUUCUGGGCGCGUGACACUCGCGCGUGGAACCCGCGAGUGGCUGCUCCCCAGCGCGUGACUGGCGCGUGGAGGCGCGUGACCUUAUUGAGGAAAAAUCACCCCCUCUCGUUACGCCAAGUGUGUGGAAACGCUGCGUAAGGGCACGUAGCAUCCAAGUAAGUCGCCACACGGAAUUUAGGAAGUAAUACUUGUAGGAACCGCUUGGGAUGCAUGCAUGCUAGUCUGAAUAUUUUAGGUUGUAGCUUUCCCGUAAAUGUUCGUAGGAAAUAGUUUAUUGAACGUAAGAUGUAUGCUGUGAUUUGUUAUGAGAGUUACUUGGAUACUGCUUAUAUGCUUUUAAUUCCCAUUUUAUUUUAUGCAUAUGUAUAUCUUUUUGCUGAAUGGAGAAUGGAAAAUUUGCGAACUCUGUGCUCCGGGAAUUGAUGGAUGUUAUCACCCCGUCGAGCUUGUAUGAUUACUUUGCAUGAAAUGUGUUUGAGGUUUUUGGAUAAUAGUUAUGUACGUACUCGGUUAUUUUUAUGGCCACCUUUAUGAAUAAGACUAGAAGACUAUGGUUAGAGCGACAAGCCAUCAAGGAAUAGACUUAACCUUUCCCUAUUAGUUUAUCAGACCAUCACGGCACAUGAAACAUCCUUAGAGUACCCUUAGGCUACUUGUGUGUGGAUGGUGAUAUAGCUUCGUGGGGGACCAGCGGGUUCCUGAUCAGGACUCGACUGCUCGAUAGCCGUUUAGUAUGGGAAACGGGAUACCCACGUCGUAAUUGACCGUUUAGCUGGAUGGAAUAGGGGAGGUAGCCCUCCCAAAUACAGGGGGAUUAUCAUGAGUCUAGGGGGUUGCAGCUCACUUCCUAGGCAAGACCCCAGAUAAUCUCAUACCCAUGCCGAGGUAGCCACUCGUAAGGCACCAGUCCAACACAGGUUAGCAUAAAA
Cucurbita moschata (crookneck pumpkin) is the source of this 1464-nucleotide long non-coding RNA. RefSeq lists it as uncharacterized. NCBI's taxonomy places the organism in Eukaryota, Viridiplantae, Streptophyta, Magnoliopsida, Cucurbitales, Cucurbitaceae. The transcript has 4 exons. The record is from RefSeq and is a predicted model, not a curated record.